UACGGAGGAUUCGAGCGUUAUCCGGAUUUAUUGGGUUUAAAGGGUGCGUAGGCGGACUGGUAAGUCAGCUGUGAAAGUUUACGGCUCAACCGUGGAAUUGCAGUGGAUACUGUUGGGCUUGAGUAUACAUGAGGUGGGCGGAAUUUGUGGUGUAGCGGUGAAAUGCUUAGAUAUCACAAAGAACUCCAGUUGCGAAGGCAGCUCACUGGGGUAUAACUGACGCUGAGGCGCGAAGGUGUGGGGAUCAAACGGG
RNAcentral lists this ribosomal RNA (253 nucleotides) under uncultured bacterium. RNAcentral's name for it is "partial 16S ribosomal RNA". It matches the Rfam family "Bacterial small subunit ribosomal RNA", at positions 524 to 776 of the family's 1533-position model. The record is from RNAcentral.